AUGCUCCGCCUCCGCAGCUCCAUCCUCGCCCACCUCCUCUCAUCUCCAGCCACCUCUCCCGUAUCCCCUCUCCACCGCCUCCUCUCAGCCGCAGCGCCAGCCAUCUCCACCCCGACCACCGGGUUCGCCGUGGAGGACUACCUCGUCAGCACCUGCGGCCUCACCCGACCCCAAGCCCUCAAGGCCUCCGCCAAGCUCUCCCACCUCAGGUCCCCUGCCAAGCCCGAAGCCGUCCUCGCCUUCCUCGCCGGCCUCGGCCUCUCCGCCGGCGAUGUCGCCGCCCUCGUCGCCAAGGACCCGCAGUUCCUCUGCGCCAGCGUGGAGAGAACACUGGCGCCCGUCGCCGCGGGGCUCUCCGGCCUCGGCUUAUCGCGAUCUGACAUCUCGCGCCUCGUCUCGGUUACUGCCGGCCUCUUCCGGCAUAGAUCCAUCGUCUCCAACGUACAGUACUGUCUGCCCCUCCUCGGCUCCUUCGAGAACCUCUUACACGCGGUCAGCCAUGGCUCCAGCCUUGUCGGAUCUGAUCUCGAGCGGGUGGUCAAGCCCAAUGUCGCUCUCCUGCAAGAGAGUGGGCUAGGUGUUUGUGAUAUUGCCAAGCUGUGCCUCAAUAGGCCACGGCUGCUCAGCAGCAACCCAGAGCGCGUCCAGGCGGCGUUGGCGUCCGCCGAAGCACUCGGUGUACCCCGUGGAUCCGGGAUGUUCAGGUAUGCGAUUGAAGCUGUUGCAUCCUUCACCGAGGAGAAGAUCGCUGCCAGAGUGGACUACUUGAAGAAGACAUUCAGGUGGUCGGAUGCCGACGUGAGCAUUGCUGUGUGUAAGGCUCCGAAUUUGAUCGCAAAAUCAAAGGAAUCACUGCAGUGCAGGUCUGAAUUCCUCAUCUCUGAGGUGGGGUUGGAACCGGCCUACCUCGCUCAACGUCCGGCAAUGGUCUGUUACAGCCUACAGGGCCGGAUGAGACCCCGGUACCACGUUGUAAAGUUUCUCAAGGAAAAUGGAUUGGUCAAGCACGACCCGAGCUACUAUACUGUUUUCAAGGAGAGCGAGAAGUAUUUCGUGGAUAAGUUCAUAUGCCCUCACAAGGAAGCUGCACCACACCUUGCAGAAGAUUAUGCCGCCGCUUGCAGAGGGGAAGUGCCCGCUAGAUUCAGAUUUACAUGA
RNAcentral lists this ribosomal RNA (1158 nucleotides) under Triticum aestivum (bread wheat). RNAcentral describes it as "partial small subunit ribosomal RNA". The record is from RNAcentral. Lineage: Eukaryota; Viridiplantae; Streptophyta; Magnoliopsida; Poales; Poaceae.